GAUGAACGCUGGCGGCGUGCCUAAUACAUGCAAGUCGAGCGAGCAGACGAGGAGCUUGCUCCUCUGACGUUAGCGGCGGACGGGUGAGUAACACGUGGAUAACCUACCUAUAAGACUGGGAUAACUUCGGGAAACCGGAGCUAAUACCGGAUAAUAUAUUGAACCGCAUGGUUCAAUAGUGAAAGACGGUUUUGCUGUCACUUAUAGAUGGAUCCGCGCCGCAUUAGCUAGUUGGUAAGGUAACGGCUUACCAAGGCAACGAUGCGUAGCCGACCUGAGAGGGUGAUCGGCCACACUGGAACUGAGACACGGUCCAGACUCCUACGGGAGGCAGCAGUAGGGAAUCUUCCGCAAUGGGCGAAAGCCUGACGGAGCAACGCCGCGUGAGUGAUGAAGGUCUUCGGAUCGUAGAACUCUGUUAUUAGGGAAGAACAAAUGUGUAAGUAACUAUGCACGUCUUGACGGUACCUAAUCAGAAAGCCACGGCUAACUACGUG
RNAcentral lists this ribosomal RNA (497 nucleotides) under uncultured bacterium. RNAcentral describes it as "partial 16S ribosomal RNA". It matches the Rfam family "Bacterial small subunit ribosomal RNA", at positions 28 to 507 of the family's 1533-position model. The record is from RNAcentral.